This 486-nucleotide ribosomal RNA is filed under the name uncultured bacterium. RNAcentral's name for it is "partial 16S ribosomal RNA". It matches the Rfam family "Bacterial small subunit ribosomal RNA", at positions 28 to 507 of the family's 1533-position model. The record is from RNAcentral.
GAUGAACGCUAGCGGCAGGCUUAACACAUGCAAGUCGAGGGGCAGCGCGGGAUAGCAAUAUCCUGGCGGCGACCGGCGGAAGGGUGCGUAACGCGUGAGCGACAUGCCCGUUGCCCGGGGACAACCGGUGGAAACGCCGACUAAUCCCCGAUGGGAUAUUGUGCCGCAUGGCACGAUAUUGAAAGUUACGGCGGCGACGGAUUGGCUCGCGUCCGCUUUGCUUGUUGGCGGGGUAACGGCACACCGAGGCUGCGAUCGGGAGGGGUUCUGGGAGGAAGGCCCCCCACGAUGGGACUGAGACACGGCCCACUCUCCGACGGGAGGCAGCAGUGACGAAGAUUGGUCAAGGGGCGGAAGCCUGAACCCGCCAUGCCGCGUGCGGGAAGGAGGCCCUCUGGGCUGUGAACCGCUUUUGCCUGGGGGCAAUAAGGGCGUCGCGCACGUCCGAUGAGAGUACCAGGCGAAUAAGCAUCGGCUAACUCCGUG